Non-coding RNA from Triticum aestivum (bread wheat), 115 nucleotides. NCBI's taxonomy places the organism in Eukaryota, Viridiplantae, Streptophyta, Magnoliopsida, Poales, Poaceae. The record is from Rfam.
AAAAUACUCCCUCGGUUCGGAAAUACUCUUCAUUGAAAUGGAUGUAUCUAGAUGUAUUUUAGUUCUAGAUACAUUCAUUUUGGUAACAAGUAAUUCCGAACGGAGGGAGUAUGUC